AAGAAGGUGGCAGAAUGGCUAUGUGACUGGCUUGAAACUAGUUCAUGGGGGUUCGAUUCCUCCCUUUCUCG
This 71-nucleotide transfer RNA is filed under the name Hoplolatilus cuniculus (dusky tilefish). Its description in RNAcentral is "tRNA-Ser(UCN)". It matches the Rfam family "tRNA". From Rfam's summary of the family: Transfer RNA (tRNA) molecules are approximately 80 nucleotides in length. Lineage: Eukaryota; Metazoa; Chordata; Actinopteri; Malacanthidae. The record is from RNAcentral.